Nannospalax galili (Upper Galilee mountains blind mole rat) is the source of this 106-nucleotide small nuclear RNA. The record is from Ensembl. NCBI's taxonomy places the organism in Eukaryota, Metazoa, Chordata, Mammalia, Rodentia, Spalacidae.
GUGUUUGCUUGAGCAGCACAUACAUUAAACUUUUGCAAUACAGAGAUUAGCAUAACCCCUGCAUAAGUUGAUAGGCAUAUGCAAAUGUGAAGCAUUUCAUAUUUUU